GAAUAUUGGACAAUGGGGGGAACCCUGACCCAGCCAUGCCGCGUGUGUGAAGAAGGCCUUUUGGUUGUAAAGCACUUUAAGCGAGGAGGAGGCUACUCUAGUUAAUACCUAGAGAUAGUGGACGUUAAUCGCAGAAUGAGCACCGGCUACCUCUGUGCAAGCCGCCGCGGUAAUACAGAGGGUGCAAGCGUUAAUCGGAUUUACUGGGCGUAGAGCGCGCGUAGGUGGCCAAUUAAGUCAAAUGUGAAAUCCCCGAGCUUAACUUGGGAAUUGCAUUCGAUACUGGUUGGCUAGAGUAUGGGAGAGGAUGGUAGAAUUCCAGGUGUAGCGGUGAAAGGCGUAGAGAUCUGGAGGAAUACCGAUGGAGAAGGCAGCCAUCUGGCCUAAUACUGACACUGAGGUGCGAAAGCAUGGGGAGCAAAC
RNAcentral lists this ribosomal RNA (423 nucleotides) under uncultured bacterium. RNAcentral describes it as "bacterial SSU rRNA". It matches the Rfam family "Bacterial small subunit ribosomal RNA", at positions 359 to 773 of the family's 1533-position model. The record is from RNAcentral.